Molecule: long non-coding RNA, 824 nt
Filed under: Daphnia pulicaria
Lineage: Eukaryota; Metazoa; Arthropoda; Branchiopoda; Diplostraca; Daphniidae
Description: uncharacterized LOC124338453, transcript variant X1
Source: RNAcentral
AGUAAUCCUUAGGAAUUGCAUGUCAGAUUAACAGCCAGGUUAAGUCUGGGCUUUCUUCAUUGCUGAAAUUUGUUUCGUCACACGGAAAACUUCAGAACAAUCAAAGUUCAUGGUCAGUUUGGUGUACAGUGGUUUACUGGUUUUGCAGUCAUUUUCCAGUUGAGAGAUGUGCUGAAAUGGAGCUUGUGCAGUCUUGCAGUUGAACAUCAUACUUUAAUGUGUCAUUUGCCUAUGCUGGUGUCCAUGCAGUGUUGGUAAAAUGGUCAAUGUUUCCUGAUGGCUGUCGGUCUUAUUUUAUCGGCUGCAUUUUGCCGAGUUGUCGUCUUUUGCUACCUGUACCGGCGUUUAGUUUAAUCGUUUGCCGCCGUUCCAAUCGUUCCAUAGACUCGAUCCAUUGGUAACACUGAGGAGAGUUUGCGAAGAUUCAAGACUCGUCAAUAAAUCAUGUAGAUUUAGACAAUUUACAAGUGCAUAUCUGGGCUCCCUUCUUCAGUGGCCCCGUUUCCCUAAAUAACCACUAACCAACGCCCGCCGGUGGUCACUCACUCGCUGCGACAACCAGGAGGAAGAGAGAUGUUUGGUCGAACGGGGACUUGCAAGGCGCAUGACUCGAUGAAAUCUGUUAGAGGGUCAUGAGUCUAAGCCGGAAGCCUACUAUGAUACACUGCUCUCAUAAUAACUGCUCCUCAGCUCUCUUCGCUCUUUUUCCGGUUUCUCUUAACCAUGGCCGGGUAAUCUCCCUGGUCGAGUCAGUCGGGCAGUGUCUCCCCCUGCUUGACCGGCUGCAGCUUGUACCGGACGGUUUGUUUAAUAAAUAAAACAAG